GUCGUGCGAGAAAUAUCUUCGGAUAUGAGUAGAGCGGCGGACGGGUGAGUAACGCGUAGGAAUCUACCUAGUAGAAGGGGAUAGCCCGAGGAAACUCGGAUUAAUACCGUAUACCUCCUUAGGGAGAAAGAGGGCCUCUCUUGAUGCUCUCGCUAUUAGAUGAGCCUGCGUAAGAUUAGCUUGUUGGUGAGGUAAUGGCUCACCAAGGCUACGAUCUUUAGCUGGUCUGAGAGGACGAUCAGCCACAUUGGGACUGAGACACGGCCCAGACUCCUACGGGAGGCAGCAGUGGGGAAUAUUGGACAAUGGGCGCAAGCCUGAUCCAGCCAUACCGCGUGUGUGAAGAAGGCCCUAGGGUUGUAAAGCACUUUAAGCAGGGAGAAAAAGUUAUAAGUUAAUACCUUAUGACCUUGAUGUUACCUGCAGAAUAAGCACCGGCUAAUUCCGUGCCAGCAGCCGCGGUAAUACGGAAGGUGCAAGCGUUAAUCGGAAUUACUGGGCGUAAAGCGCGCGUAGGUGGUUUGUUAAGUUGGAUGUGAAAGCCCUGGGCUCAACCUAGGAACUGCAUCCAAAACUAACUCACUAGAGUACGAUAGAGGGAGGUAGAAUUCAUAGUGUAGCGGUGGAAUGCGUAGAUAUUAUGAAGAAUACCAGUGGCGAAGGCGGCCUCCUGGAUCUGUACUGACACUAAGGUGCGAAAGCGUGGGUAGCGAACAGGAUUAGAUACCCUGGUAGUCCACGCCGUAAACGAUGACAACUAGCUGUUGGAAGACAACGUCUUUCAGUGGCGCAGCUAACGUUUUAAG
Molecule: ribosomal RNA, 806 nt
Filed under: uncultured marine bacterium
Lineage: Bacteria
Description: bacterial SSU rRNA
Rfam family: Bacterial small subunit ribosomal RNA
Source: RNAcentral